Molecule: long non-coding RNA, 6750 nt
Organism: Cygnus olor (mute swan)
Lineage: Eukaryota; Metazoa; Chordata; Aves; Anseriformes; Anatidae
Exons: 4
Source: RefSeq, a predicted model, not a curated record
UGAUUCCCCUGUAGAUGGUACGCUCUAGACCCUUCUGGAACAGUUUUUGGAUGAUUUGCUCCACACAGUGAAGCGUCUCACCGUUCUCCAGCAAAUCCCGGCAGGCACACACACGCCAGCUCACCGCUGAGAUCAGUACAGUUGCCAUAAUUGAAACAGUGGGCAAUAAGUUCCAGAGAUCCUAAGGCACGUGCUGGUUCAUCACUGAGGUUUACCAAAAGACCUGUACACAAGAUACAAUUUUGGAUUCAGUUAAUCUACAGUGCAGUUACUUCCAUCGUGGUGCUCAGAAAACUGCUUUUCCUUCCAGCCUACGAUACAGACGUAGAGUGAUUAUUUCUAUUAUGAACACAAGUACCGCGGUGUGAGAAUGUCAUCCAGACUCUUUGAAAGUAGGUUUCCAGUUGAAGGAUGUGACUUCCAGAAAGUGCAAAGCAAAAAUUCCCUGCAGACAUCUCUGAAAUGUUUCAGCAUGGGUCUUGGCAAGUAUUAAAUUCCUCCUGGAAAUGUUGGCCUCUGUGCUAAAGUAUUAGAUAAUAUUAUGGGAACAAUAGGUAAUAGUAAGUGCCCCAAAGGGAUAUCAAGUUCCCGCUAAGUAUCGGUUCAGACAGCAUUCAUCUUAAUGCCAAUGCAUUUCUUAUAGGCUGCAGUUUUGUAUCAAACUACGUCCUGAAAGAUUGUCAGUUCGAAUUAUACUGUUCACAAGGUAAAAUGAAAUAUUCUGGCUUCCAAACUUGUGUUGAUUUAGAAUAUUUCACACCUAUUUUAUUCACUGGGAGUGAUACUGACUUCAGUGACAAUGACAUCCACGUUGACAUGAUGUCACCCUGUUCCCAUGCCAGUGAAAUGUCCCCUGCAUGGAGAUGGCACAGUAUCUAUAAGCAUCAUGUUGGGUGUGAGAGGGGGAAAUAAUGGUCAUUGCAGUUAUAAUUCAUUUGUGUUCUGGUAGUAUCCAGGGGUCUCCUUAAAUCAUCAGGUGGUUUGUUGCCGAAUUCGACAGCUUAACUGCAUCUUAGAUUCCGUGUGUGGGUAUGCUGAGAUCUUUGCACAUGUUGAAUUUCAGAAAGCACUUUCUAUUUUCCUAGGUAUCAAGAUUUCUUUUGGUAAAAUAAGACAUUUUUAUAGCGUCUUCCUCCAAUACAGUGAAAACCUUGGUGACUGUGGUUGUUGCGUACAGGCAGCUGCUGAGAGUUUUUUUCGUCUUAGCACCCAAAUUUGAACUUUAGCAACUUUGUUCCCCAGGCGCUGUUUUGUGGGACUUGGACUUCUAAAUCUGGGCCCCUGAGACACUGGGGUACAAGUGUUUCUAAGCCCGCAGUUCUAAGGUAGUUAGUGCUAUCACAGAAAUACCAUUGUGCCAUCAGAAACUGCAUCUAAUACCUUGACCACACACUAGAUGUUUUGCUCCAUAUAGAAGCACCUACGGGAACAGACAUGCUAGCAGCAGUAAACAAGAAUUCCUCACAGUGGCCGCUGUCUGUAUGUGUUCCUCAUGCUAGUAGGGUAAGAUUUCCUCCUAGCAUUCAGCCACACAGAGUAAAGGACUUGACCAACCCACUGGGGUAGCAGAGCGAGGAGUGAAACUCCCCAUCCCCACCAGGACUUAUGAAGGACUUGCUACAGGUCCUCAGCUAACCUACGGGAACAACUCACAUGGUUGAAGAACAGCAGAUGCGAGCUCUUUUGAAAAUAUAGUCCUGAAUGUUGCUAGACAGUAGAAAUGAGCUGUAGUCUCAAGAUGCAGCUCACACAGCUCUCUGUUUUCUUAAAUAAGAUUAAUCCGAAUGAGUGAAACCGUCUGGCAGAAUCUGACUACUGAAGAAGAGAUCAAACUCAACCCAUGCAAACCUUGACCAUGCCCAUUCCUACAGCAGCAAAGUCAGACUUCAGUAUUAAUUUAACGAAGUAGAUUAUUAAAACAUGUCCUAAUGUAACAUACUCUUUAAAAAAGGCAGGAAAUUAGUAACUUAAAUUAUUACCCCAACUUUCAUUUUGAUAUGAUAAUCACAACUGGCUAACUGGUCAAGAAAUGGGAUUAACUUUCUGAGGACUGUGCAGGCAGAAGUUACUGUACUUGCUAUACAUUACAUUAGCAGUUACGGACACCACUAGUCUAACAAACUGCGCCAUUUUUGGCCGCUUAAUCUGAUUCUGUAACAAUUUGGCAUUUAUUUAGGGCCAUACCCUUCUACCUGUCGGAAGUCCCCGCUGAUUUUGAAAGUAGGUGUUGCACUUGUAAUUCAAGACAGGAAGAAAAGCUUUUGUAUCUGGGCAAACUUGAUGGAAAUCCUGCAAGUUCCUUAACAAUAAUGAGAAAAAUGUAUCCACUCACAUUUAUCAUACAGAAAAAUAAGCACAAGUGUUUUGGACUGUAUGUCAUGGCAAAUGUGAGAGGUGUUUUCCAAGCACUGAGAAGGAAUAUGAACUUAGACGGUCAUUUCUCUUAACAAUUUAGUCUUUGAAUUUUUGGAGCCUUUUAAAUGGAAGAGGUGUUUUGUUUUUUUUAUUUUUGUUUGUUGGUUGUUUUGUUUUUAAAUGGUCUUUUAUUUAAAAAUUGCUGGGAAAAAAAUGUUUUCACAAUUUAAAAAUGUAUAACCUGCUUGCUCAUUUUUUUCCCCUGUGGACAAGUAAAAUAAUUUCUAAAGUGUUUUCAAAAGUUUGAAAAUUAAAUUAAGAUUCCUCCAACCAAACCUUUCAACUAAUCCAAGCCACUUCUUAUAUCAAAUAUUUUCAAGGCAAUAAAUAUUAAAGAUUUCAAUCUUUGGUUUAGGUUGGCAACAGGAAAAUAUUUUCGGUAAGAAAGAAAAGCAUUCUCACUCCCAGAUUUCCUUUGAAGUCUCUUCUACCUGUCUUGAUUCAAAUAAAGGGCACUAGUGUAAGCAGAAUUUCAAAAACGCUCCUAAGAGGAAAGGCACUGCUUGUGGAUCUUUAUGAAAGGCAUCCAGAUAUGUCAGCCCUUUCACCACCAUUCGCAACAAAGCAUCCCUCCACAGUCAUUGUGGGUGAGACCAGUGAAACUGCACUACGCUUAACAGAUGUCACAAAAAAUUCUGCAGUAGAAAAGGAUCUUGAGAGAACAUGAUUCCUCCAGAAGAAACUCUGCGAGCCUUUGGUUUAGAAGUGCUACAAGGGCUCUGAAUUUUGUCUAAUAAAAUAAAACUAAGAACUGUUUCUCCCCUUCAGCUAUUUUUACUGGAAAAGUAUACUUUCUAAAAUGAAUUAACAUCAAUCUUGGGAAAAUAGGUAGCCAGAGCAAAAGAGACGUACAACUACCCCAAAUGUAAGAAUUUACUGAAAUGGUUUUAGGUCCAGCAAUACCCCAGGCAGCAAGUUGUUUUUUUGUUUGCUUGCUUGCUUGCUUUGCUGUGUUUGUUGUUGUUUAUUUUAUAUAUAUAUAUAUAUAUAUAUAUGUAUGUAUAGGUAUAGAUAUAUGUUUUAAUUUAUUUUAUAUAAAAAAAUAAUAGUCCUGUAAUAAUCACCUUGUAACAAUGACUUUAAUUUUAAGGUCAUUGUUACAAGUUGAUUAUUUCAGGAUUACUGCAAGUGUUUUGCACUUUGGAAUGACUACAGCAAGACAUCCUGCUGUUGUAUUUAUACUAGCGUUUUACUAACUCAGUGAUCAUUUAUUUUUUUUUAAAUUUUUAUUUUGGUUAGUAUGGUUUUUUUUAAAUACCUUUUCUGUAGCAAUUUCUUGUACAAGCUUCUUUGGUUAGUGAUGCAUAUUGGAUCACUAGCUGAGCAGAAUUAAUUCUGUAUUUCCAGUCAUUUUUAGUUAAACAGUUUUCUUCUAUGCUGCGUGCUUGCACAAUGCACAUGGUAACUACUGCUUUAUUUGACUGAAAGCAGGUUUGUCUCGCUUCAGGUUUUUAGCAGCAGCCAGUCUCAAAGCAUAAUUAAUCUAUUUGUGUUCUGCCUCUUGAUAUCAGAAUCAGAAUUAUAUUUUCUUAGAAAAAGAAAAAAAAGAUUGUAAUUACUAUUCAAAUAUAUUAAGAAAUCAUAUAAUAUGUACCACCUAAAAUAAAAGGUGGUCCUGAAAUUUAUACCACACUGGUGCUUCAGAAAUAGAUGUAAUGCAUUCAUUAUGUUGUGUUUUUUUCUUACAGUAAGCGGAGUAAUACAAGCUGUAAGCUUCAUAACUACAUCCUUUCAUCCUGACUGUAAGUAAAUGGGCAAUGCAUCAUAGAAUAUGUAAGCUGGACUCAGACAAAUGAACAAGCACAGAUAAAAACACUCAUAUAACCCUAAAAUAUCCUUCUGGUUUUAGAACUGGGUGUUGUGGGGGGUGGGGGAAUACAUUUUGUACAUUAUACGUUUAACUUUAAAAUUCAAAAUAAAUAGCAUCUACAAAUUAUAUGGAUAGUGAUUAAGGAGAGCACAGAAGAGCAUUUUAAUCUCCUUCUACACCUUGAAACAUCAUGCCUCUAUAACAGAGAUAAGUUCAGAUUGCCUGACAACUGUAACCAUGUGAAGGUUCAACACAAAGGAAAGGAGAAGAGCUCUGAAAAGCCUUGAUAAACACUGAGCUGGUAGGCCUAUCGGAUUGCAUUUUACUCCUAGCCAUCCUUUUAAUUACAUAAUGGAUAUUAUCAGAGGACGCAAAGCGUUAAAUACUGUCGGUAAUUUGUUGGUUUCAUAUGUUAAACUUCUAACAAAAUGCUAUUGUCAUCCCUCUGAUUUUUUACCCCAUUCAGGAACUUCUAUACAUUAUAAUUUAUUGCUGAAAACAUCUUCAAUAGUGAAGGGUUUUUUCCUCUUAAAGAAGAAAUAUUGAGCACAUGGUACAUGUAUGUUUCUACAUAUGUUUCUAUAUCUAUAUGUAUUUUAACCUGUGUGUGAAAUUCUGUUUUCUGAUGGGCAUUGAAAGUGUGGUGCAACUGUGUGACUGCAUGGUUCAAAUGCCACAAAGCGUCUUGCGGCCAGAUCAAGCUGCCGUAAGCUGGCUCUCGUAGUGUAACAGAAGUGCUGUGUUACACAUAUAGAAAAGGAAUUUUGUUCUACUGGUAUGGAGAGUUGUGUGAAAUGGCUGUUUUGUGGAAAGAAGUAUUACUCUUUUAUAAGUAAUUCAACAAGGUAUUUAUGUCCAGGCAUAAAUAAUCUGGAUGUGUUGCUGCAAAACAGAUACUGAAUAACAGACGCAGGGUGUUUAGCACAUAUGGAACUUUAUAUUAACACAAUUGGACUGCUUAUAAUAUUUAAAAAGGCCCUAGAUUAAGCUUAUUAUAGACUUGGUAAUUCAAAAUGAACUAGUUCUGUACCUCUUCUUUGUGGCAUUAGAAGCAAUGCAUUCCUUAGGCCCUUGGAGGGCAAUGACUCAGAGCUAACCUGAACAAGAAUGGACCUUGGCAUGCUCAAUGCCUCAUUUAUUCUGCGCUGCUGAAUCCUUACAGUAAACUAUUCAACCCCUCAGUACAUCAGUCUAAUACACAAUCAAAUAUGCCCUCAAGUUUCAAAGUAAUAUAAGUGUUGAAAACUCCCUCCACCCUUGGAAAGGUACUAGAUAAAAGACCUAGGAUCUUAAGGGUAAAUCAGUACAAGGCCUUCACCUGAGGCCUUUCAUGACAGAACUCCUAACUUCAUGUUCUCUGUAAAUGUGAAGUGCUAGAAUGAUCUUCAGGUGUCUAUGAUGACAGAGAAUAUACAUUAACAUUUUGAAAGCAAAAUGCAGCUACUGUUCUUAGGGGUGAAAAACAAUGUUUAUGAACAGGAUGGAGAGAGAGUCUAGAAAGGCCCUGACUUGCAUUCUGUGGCCCAACAAACAGCACCAGGCCUGACUGCAAUAAUACUCCAAUUACCAAACUCUAGGGGAGGAUAGCUGGCAUUUCCCUCUGUCCGAUGAUUUAAUUGGGCUGUCAGCUAGGGAUAAUUAGUUUCUGGUUGACUGAAAAAAGUGACAGUGACAUCAGCUCUCUGUUAUCCUUUAUUAUUUAAAUUCUUGUAUCGUAACAGGGCCUCAGCACACAGGGCGCUCCUGCGGCAUUUACAAGUCUCUCAUUUUGCAGGGCAAUGGAAAUGCAGCAAAGUAAGACACACAGAAAACAUUUCGAGCUGUUUACCACAUACGUUUUCAUAACACAAGGACUUUUGAGAGCCAAGAUUAUUUCUGUACAGGAAAGUCUGGUAUUGCUUGUUUUACUGGAAAUUUGAUAGUACUGUUACAGAUGUGACAGUCUAAAGCUAUAAACAGGGCAAGGUUUAUAGGGAGAGGCGAUACCUUCCAUUAAUCCAGCUGAUGUGACUGGAAAAAUAAAGAUAAUUUUGGGCACAUGAACCCUUCUUGAGAUCAUGUACCCAAAGCUGGUCUGUUUUUAGUUCACAUGGUCACAUACGCUAUCUGAGCUAUUAAAAGUAUUAAAUUUCUCUCCAGUUCUUGCCUUGCUUAUAGGAAAAUACCUCUGAUGCUAGUAGCGUAUUAUCACAAAAGGUUUAAUUCAUUCUAUUGAAAGCACAGUCCAAAGCAAUUGAUAUAAAUUCUUGUUUCUUUUUUUUUUUGCACAGCAUCAGAAAGAUGCUUUCAUUUAUAUUGAUUUUUGUAACAAUGCUUGAGCUUCUCCAUCAGCAGAGGAGAACACCAGGUUUUUCUCCCACUGUUUUCUUUCACUCAGCUUCCACUCUCCUCCCUUCCCUUAGGCUGUUGAGAACUAGUGGAGCAGGCAGAAAUGGCAGCGCCACAAGCAUUGGCAGCAAUAUACGCAGGCAGUUUCUCUCAGGACUUCUACAGCUGGUAUAUUUUCAAAGUGCAAAGGGAAUAUA